CGCCUACUGCCUGGUCAACAGCAACUCCAGCACGUUCACCACAAUGGAGAUGGGUGCCAUGGUGAGGCAAUUCAUGGCCACUGAGCUGGCCCCAGAGUCAGCAUACAUCUUCAGGCUGAUGACCAAGGUGAUGCAGGGCUGGGGGAGCCCCUAGGGCCACCGUCAUCACCACUGAGAAGCAAGGUGGUGCUUUGAGGCUCAGGUGACUUGGCCUCGUUGGCAGCAUCCAAUGCGUCUGGCCUCUGUCUCUUCAGUGCAGAUUCAAGUGCAACAUGUACAGGAGUGUGACCCCUGUCUUCUCCCUGGUGGAUGUGCAUCACAGUGGUGGUGCUUCAAGGCUCAGAGGAUGUGGCCUCAUGGGCAGCAUCCAAAGCAUCUGGCCUCUGUCUCUUCAGUGCAGAUUGAAGUGCAGCACAUACAGGAGUGUGACCCCUGUCAUCUCCCUGGUGGAUGUACAUCACAGUAUGCUGAUGGUGUCAGAGGUGCAAGAUAACCCAUGGAGUGAGAAGGGACUCUUGGCUGGUGGAGGGACUCUUGGCUCCUGAAAGACCACAUGAAGGAACUUUGUCUCCAAACUGAAGAUUCACUCAGCACUCUCAUAUAUUAUCCCACAAAUGCCUAUGGACAUAUGAAGGAAGUCCAUGCUAGAGUCAUCUGUAUUGUACGGACAAGAUGCAGACCACCCCUGACAGGGAUAAUGUCUUAUCCAAGGACAAAAACAGGUAAGAUUGGAGAGCUGUUCCUGAAGACACGUGUGUUUCCAAGCUGGGGCCCUGGCUGCUCCCAGUCCUUCCUUAGUGGCCUGUGGAGAGGGGUGUGUUGGUGUCACUGCGUACAGAUGUGGCCUUGCAUGCAGAAUGGGGAUGAGCAGAUGGCAACCCUGAGCACUGUUUGUGUAGGUGUCAAUCCAGGAGUGGACUUGGGUAGGUGAUCUCAGGCAGUGAAGUUACUUCCUUGAUGGCAGACCCCAACAGAAUUUGGAACCCCUGCAAACAGGCUUCUACAUUCUAGUGUAGUCUAGUAUGGUGGUUACUUGGCUAGAGACAUACAAUACUGAAAUAUGUUCUCCUGCUGUUUGCCUACUUCCCAGGAAUGACUUUUUCACAUGCUGCAGAUAUUGGCUCAAACCUCAUGGGCAAAGCCUCAGGGCAUUUGGCAGGAGGUUCGAUAAGGUAAUAUAGAACAGCUUAUGCAAGGCCAAGUCACACCUCUGAGCCAUCCCAGGGCAGCCUCGUUCUCUCCUCUGGAAUUUCUGGCAAAGAGGGAUAUGUGGGGUUCCUGCCACUGGGAUGGAGGGGGUUGUAAGGUAGCGGAUACCCGGGGAAGCUGUGGAUGUGGGUACUGUGACAGAGUACAGGGGAAUGGAUGACAGCUUUAGCCCCUAAGAGAGUCAUUCCCCAUUACCGGGCCCUCUCACCCCUGUCUCUACCCCAAUCCUGGGACCUAGACCAGAGUCUGUGGAAACCACCAAAAUCAGCAAUAUGUUGGAACCUGUACACUGAGUGUUCAAAGGGUGCUCAGGAGACCCAGUGAGAGUAUAGGGACCAGAUAUUCCAAAUCCUGUGGGAGAUUAGUGUCAGUAGAAGGAGACCCACUCAUGGCACCUAGUGAAAGAGGCAGCACAUGGGCACAAGAGGUAAUGUUUGAAGUAUUGGGAGGAUCCUGGGAAGGCCUGGCUAGAGACAGAGUCCAUUUGCUCCCUCCUUUGUUGGAUCUUCAGAGAGCAGUGAUGUGUGCAUUGAGGGUAAUUAAGAGGCCCGACAACACCCCUCCUUGGGCACAUGCAGUUGAAUUCAAGUGGCAAAUGCACAAGGAGAUAGACUACAGAGUGAGUCCAGAUCCACCAUGUAGGGCAGAAAUGGUCCCACCAUUCAUCAAGAUCUCCCACGCAUUGAGGCUCUUGCCAGCCUAUUGUCUGUAACCAGGCCUAUCUCAGGAUUGCCAGAUCACAGAUGGGCAAGGAGUAGGACUGGUCUCUGACAGGAGAUUUAUGCCCAAGGACCCAGGUUCCCACAGGUUUCCCUGGGAUAUUCGUUUGGGAGGGUGCCCUGUCCUCUGAUUCCUCUUCCUAAUUGUCUAUCCCCGGGACCAUCUCCUCCAUCUUGAACACAUGGCUAGAAAAA
Long non-coding RNA from Enhydra lutris kenyoni (northern sea otter), 2123 nucleotides. RefSeq lists it as uncharacterized. The transcript is spliced from 5 exons. NCBI's taxonomy places the organism in Eukaryota, Metazoa, Chordata, Mammalia, Carnivora, Mustelidae. The record is from RefSeq and is a predicted model, not a curated record.